UCUUCGUUGUAUUUAUAAGACCUUCCAACAACAGGAAGUAGCGCCGACUAGUGCCCAGCGGUGCCCAGUCACUUCUGCGGGUCUAAGGGAAAACAGCUCUUGUUUUUUCAACAAUUUGCCCACUUUUCGUUCGCUGAUGCGGAGGUAAUCGCAGUCACAGUCAGGCUGUGAGAAUGGGCUCUAAUUAUAUUAAUGUUUUCUACCUGGAAAUACGCUGGUGUUGGACUGGCUAAGGGGACACUACUAGCCUGAACUGCGGCAGUGAGAUGGGCUGCUCAACACACCCACAGAUGUGUUCAAGUAAUGGCUCACUCAUUGUUGUACCAACUUUUAAGAUGGAGUUGCAGAGCAUGAAGGCGAGGCCACAGCAGAAGAGCUGGGAGAGAUGCAAACACCAUCGAGAAGACUAGCAAGUGGUGAAGGUUGUGGACAAGACGGUUUUGGAGAAAAUGGAAGUCGUACUUUUAAAUACAGGAUGACAUUUGUGCAAAAAAGAAAAGCUUAAUAAAACAUAUUUGUAAAGAGUCUCAUUCAUCUAAAUAUUUCAAAUGAAGUUCUGGAUGUAAUUCAGUGUUAAACGUAUACUUGUUGUACUACAUAUUUAAGUAGAAAGAUUCACAGAGAAAUUGAACUUGAACACCUCUAAAACUAUGUGAUAUAUUUUUCAUUCUCGACAAACCCAGUGUUGUAGCAGCGUUUGAGCCAGGGUCCUUCCAUUUAGCUGGCAGAGUUUUUGAUACAAGUCUUCUCAUAGUUGGCUUCAAUGGAAAUGCUGUUUUUUAGUACAGAGGCUUCUUGUGAGCAGUUGAAGAUUUGUACUCACUCAUUUAUAGUCAAUGUUUGGGUUCAAAUUAAACCCAGAUAAAAACAAGUCUACUGCAGUCUGCUAUAAUAGUCUUCAUGUUUCAGACACACAACUUUGGCUUCUACUUUGAAGAAAAGAGCUGAACCAUUGGUGCAGGUGUCUCUGGUAAAAAAAUUGACAAAUUCAAUCCUCUUUCAGUCUUUGAAUGCAUAAUCUGUACACAAACAAAGGGAAUAACAACAUGGAAUUUAAUGAACUGUCAUGUCUAUUUCAAUGUAAUUACC
This 1089-nucleotide long non-coding RNA is filed under the name Neogobius melanostomus (round goby). Its description in RNAcentral is "lncRNA (ENSNMLG00000014317.1)". The record is from RNAcentral. Lineage: Eukaryota; Metazoa; Chordata; Actinopteri; Gobiiformes; Gobiidae.